GUGCCAGCAGCCGCGGUAAUACGUAGGGGGCGAGCGUUGUCCGGAUUCAUUGGGCGUAAAGAGCUCGUAGGCGGUUCAGUAAGUCGGGUGUGAAAGCUCCGAGCUCAACUCGGAGAGGCCACCCGAUACUGCUGUGACUUGAGUCCAGUAGAGGAGCGUGGAACUCCUGGUGUAGCGGUGAAAUGCGCAGAUAUCAGGAAGAACACCGGUAGCGAAGGCGGCGCUCUGGGCUGGAACUGACGCUGAGGAGCGAAAGCGUGGGUAGCAAACAGGAUUAGAAACCCUCGUAGUCC
RNAcentral lists this ribosomal RNA (293 nucleotides) under uncultured bacterium. Its description in RNAcentral is "partial 16S ribosomal RNA". It matches the Rfam family "Bacterial small subunit ribosomal RNA", at positions 505 to 796 of the family's 1533-position model. The record is from RNAcentral.